This 22-nucleotide unclassified non-coding RNA is filed under the name Mus musculus (house mouse). RNAcentral's name for it is "oocyte_clustered_small_RNA8906". The record is from RNAcentral. Lineage: Eukaryota; Metazoa; Chordata; Mammalia; Rodentia; Muridae.
UCAUUGCCAACCUCUUCAACAA